This 157-nucleotide unclassified non-coding RNA is filed under the name uncultured Coniochaetales. RNAcentral's name for it is "sequence contains ITS2". The record is from RNAcentral. Lineage: Eukaryota; Fungi; Ascomycota; Sordariomycetes; Coniochaetales.
CAACCCUCAAGCACUGCUUGGUGUUGGGGCCCUACGGCUGCCGUAGGCCCUGAAAGGAAGUGGAGGGCUCGCUACAACUCCGAGCGUAGUAAUUCGUUUUCUCGCUACGGGCGUUGCGGCGGUGCUCCUGCCGUUAAAGACCCCAUCUUUAACCAAA